This 2223-nucleotide ribosomal RNA is filed under the name Triticum aestivum (bread wheat). RNAcentral describes it as "partial small subunit ribosomal RNA". Lineage: Eukaryota; Viridiplantae; Streptophyta; Magnoliopsida; Poales; Poaceae. The record is from RNAcentral.
AUGCUUUCGCCGGGUACGCCUCUCCCGCGUUGCCAGUGUUUCUCGACGGUAUUCCGUACAGACCCCGUCUCGCACAUGCGCUUUUCCUCGGUGCUUCGUGCUCGCUCGCUUGGAGCUGCACCGCCUCGUCUAGCCGCUUCACUUGAUGGUGUUGGUCGUUCUUCAGCGACUCUUCCCACGGCUUCCGCACCUGGUGAUUGUCGCCCUACGUCGACUCAUGACGAGGCUUCCACAUUCGGCGGUGACCGCUCUACCUCGAAUCCCCCAGUGGCUUUCACAUGCGGCUCUACGUCGACUCGCUACUCUCGGUCGACUCUGCACGCGGCUUCCAUGGGUGGAGGCGACUGCUCAUCGUCAGCAGGUGUUUCUACCUCGACCUCUUCGACCGUGUCCUUGUCUGCGCAUGAGAUUGCACAGUUGAAAUGCCUGCUUGAUGCUUGGGAUUCUUCACCGACGGUUUCUGCAGGUUCUGUGGCUGACUCUUCUGGCACUGAGAAACCACCUUCUACUUAUUCAGGUACAUCCCCAUGGAUUCUUGAUACUGGAGCGUCUUCUCACAUGACUUAUGAUUCUUCCACUUUGACCUCCAUUCAACCUGUCGAGUCUCAUGUACGUGUUCUUACGGCUGAUGGCACUCCCCUCCCUGUAGCUAGUCAAGGCACUCUUAGCACUUCUUCAUUCCCCUCUGUCGCUCAUGUUCCUCGACUUACCAUGCAGCUCAUAUCUGGUGGUCAGAUUGUCGACUCUAGUUGUAGGGUCAUUCUCGACUUCGAUUCAUGUUCUGUUCAGGAUCGUCACACGGGCACUUUGCUUGGUGCUGGCCCUCGACGCUUUGAUGGUCUUUGGGAGCUUGACUGGCUUUGUCUUCACUCCGCUGCCACCACCGCCAGUCUCGCGGCCCCUAUAGCUGCAUCUACUAGCUCUUUUCAGCAGUGGCAUCAUCGUCUUGGCCAUUUAUGUGGUUCUCGUCUCUCGUCUUUGGUUCAUCGCGGUGUUCUGGGGUCUGUCUCCGGUAACGCUUCGUUGGAUUGUCUGGGUUGUAGACUUGGUAAGCAGAUUCAGCUACCCUACCCUCACAGUGAGUCAGUGUCCGAGCGUCCUUUUGAUCUCGUUCACUCUGAUGUUUGGGGUCCGGCUCCCUUCGCUUCGAAAGGGGGUCAUCGCAACUAUAUUAUCUUUAUAGACGUUUUUUCUCGAUACACUUGGAUCUAUUUCAUGUCUUCUCGUAGUGAGGUCUUACCUAUAUACAAAAAGUUUGCUCCCAUGGUUCAUACCCAGUAUUCCACUCCUAUUCAUGUUUUCCGCGCAGAUUCAGCUGGUGAGUAUAUCUCCCAUGCACUGCGAGGAUUUCUUGCUGAGCAGGGUACUCUUACUCGGUUCUCUUGCCCUGGUGCUCAUGCUCAGAAUGGUGUGGCUGAGCGCAAGCAUCGUCACCUUCUUGAGACGACGCAUGCAAUGAUGAUUGCCGCCUCUCUUCCGCCUCACUUUUGGGCUGAGGCUGUUACCACUUCCACCUACCUCAUCAACAUUCAGCCUUCUGCUGCUCUACAGGGUGGUAUUCCUCUCGAGCGUCUUUCUAGUCGUUCUCCUGAUUAUUCGGCGCUCCGUUUGUUUGGUUGCGUUUGCUAUGUUUUGCUUGCCUCUCGUGAACGCACCAAACUGACCGCUCAGUCUGUUGAGUGUGUCUUCCUUGGAUACAGUGAUGAGCAUAAGGGCUAUCGGUGUUGGGAUCCUGUCGAUCGCCGGAUGCGUAUUUCCCGGGAUGUGACCUUUGAUGAAUCUCGUCCCUUCUACUCGCGUCUGUCCUCCUCGGCUUUUUCUACGGAGGACAUCUCAUUCCUUACAUUUCCGGAUACACCACCCUUUGUGCCCGGUAUUCUUACUCCUCGUCCCGCUGUUACAGAACCGACCCCGUCCUCUCCUACGGUUUCUUCUCCUCCCUCAUCGCAUAACUUCCCACCUUCAUCACCGAUACCUUCCACUUCUCCACCUUCAUCACCGAUACAUUCCCCGUCUCCACCUCCAGUGAUUCCACCUCUUCCCUCCUUUCCUUUCCAUUAUACUCGUCGUUCACGUGUUGUGGAUAAGUCUACAGAUGUGCCUUCUACUUCUGGUGUGUCGUCUUCCUCCUCUCACCCGACUUAUGGUCUUCGUCCUCGGCCUUGUCCGCCCCUGACCGAUAUUCUCCUUCUCACUAUGGUCUUUCGACUGUUCUUGAGCUGA